RNAcentral lists this ribosomal RNA (301 nucleotides) under uncultured bacterium. RNAcentral's name for it is "partial 16S ribosomal RNA". It matches the Rfam family "Bacterial small subunit ribosomal RNA", at positions 509 to 807 of the family's 1533-position model. The record is from RNAcentral.
CAGCAGCCACGGGAAUACGGAGGGUGCAAGCGUUAAUCGGAAUUACUGGGCGUAAAGCGCACGCAGGCGGUCUGACAAGUCAGAUGUGAAAUCCCCGGGCUUAACCUGGGAACUGCAUUUGAAACUGUCAGGCUGGAGUCUUGUAGAGGGGGGUGGAAUUCCAGGUGUAGCGGUGAAAUGCGUAGAGAUCUGGAGGAAUACCGGUGGCGAAGGCGGCCCCCUGGACAAAGACUGACGCUCAGGUGCGAAAGCGUGGGGAGCAAACAGGAUUAGAUACCCCAGUAGUCCCUGUCUCUUAUAC